UUUCCCUCAGGAUGGCUGGCACUCUUCCAAAACCCACCCCACGUGGUUUCAUCUGUAAAGCGAAUGAUUGGAGGUUUUAGGACCCAAAGGAUCUCCACCUACUCUCACCCUUUAGUUAGGUAAGAAGCCCGGCUUGCUGGCAUGUGGAGCUGGGUGUGGAAUGUGAGUGCCUAGUGGGCCGUGUCUGGUAAGCAGACCUGGCUUUGCGGGAUGAACCG
Nomascus leucogenys (northern white-cheeked gibbon) is the source of this 218-nucleotide ribosomal RNA. It matches the Rfam family "Eukaryotic large subunit ribosomal RNA", at positions 967 to 1170 of the family's 3401-position model. Lineage: Eukaryota; Metazoa; Chordata; Mammalia; Primates; Hylobatidae. The record is from Rfam.